RNAcentral lists this ribosomal RNA (501 nucleotides) under uncultured bacterium. Its description in RNAcentral is "partial 16S ribosomal RNA". It matches the Rfam family "Bacterial small subunit ribosomal RNA", at positions 29 to 523 of the family's 1533-position model. The record is from RNAcentral.
AUUGAACGCUGGCGGCAUGCCUUACACAUGCAAGUCGAACGGCAGCACGGGUGCUUGCACCUGGUGGCGAGUGGCGAACGGGUGAGUAAUACAUCGGAACGUACCUUAUCGUGGGGGAUAACGCAGCGAAAGCUGUGCUAAUACCGCAUACGCCCUGAGGGGGAAAGCGGGGGAUCGCAAGACCUCGCGCGAUUAGAGCGGCCGAUGCCUGAUUAGCUUGUGGGUGGGGUAAAAGCCCACCAAGGCGACGAUCAGUAGCUGGUCUGAGAGGACGAUCAGCCACACUGGGACUGAGACACGGCCCAGACUCCUACGGGAGGCAGCAGUGGGGAAUUUUGGACAAUGGGGGCAACCCUGAUCCAGCAAUGCCGCGUGAGUGAAGAAGGCCUUCGGGUUGUAAAGCUCUUUUGUCAGGGAAGAAACACCGGCUCUAACACAGUCUGGGAAUGACGGUACCUGAAGAAUAAGCACCGGCUAACUACGUGCCAGCAGCAGCCGCCG